AUGACGAGCACGCCAGUCUUGGCCCUUCCCAACUUCACACGCCCGUUCGCCAUCGAAACGGAUGCCUGUGACACGGGCGUGGGCGCGGUGCUCACCCAAGAUGGCCAUCCUGUCGCCUAUCUCAGCAAGGCUCUAGGGGUGCGGAAUCAGAAGCUCUCCACAUACGAAAAAGAAUUCCUCGCCGUGAUGAUGGCCGUCGACAAGUGGCGACCGUACCUGCAACGUGCCCCGUUCGAGAUUGUCACCGAUCACAAAAGUUUGUGUGCACUGGGCGAUCAGCAGCUGGUCACCGAUCUGCAACGCAAGGCUAUGUCAAAGAUGGUUGGCCUCCAAUUCUCCUUCCGUUACAAGAAAGGCGUCGACAACGGCGCCGCGGAUGCACUGUCCCGGUCGGCCAUCUGCUGGAGCUCGACGCGCUGUCCAUGUGCCAACCCCAGUGGCUGCAAGAGGUGGCGAACUCUUACGAGACUGACCCUGAGUCACAAGAGCUGCUCGCCAAGCUGGCAGUUGUGGGCGAGGACGAUCAAGGUCGGGCACUGCAGAAUGGAGUAA
RNAcentral lists this ribosomal RNA (552 nucleotides) under Triticum aestivum (bread wheat). Its description in RNAcentral is "partial small subunit ribosomal RNA". Lineage: Eukaryota; Viridiplantae; Streptophyta; Magnoliopsida; Poales; Poaceae. The record is from RNAcentral.